AUGAACGCUGGCGGCGUGCCUAAUACAUGCAAGUCGAGCGAACAGACGAGGAGCUUGCUCCUCUGACGUUAGCGGCGGACGGGUGAGUAACACGUGGAUAACCUACCUAUAAGACUGGGAUAACUUCGGGAAACCGGAGCUAAUACCGGAUAAUAUAUUGAACCGCAUGGUUCAAUAGUGAAAGACGGUUUUGCUGUCACUUAUAGAUGGAUCCGCGCCGCAUUAGCUAGUUGGUAAGGUAACGACUUACCAAGGCAACGAUGCGUAGCCGACCUGAGAGGGUGAUCGGCCACACUGGAACUGAGACACGGUCCAGACUCCUACGGGAGGCAGCAGUAGGGAAUCUUCCGCAAUGGGCGAAAGCUUGACGGAGCAACGCCGCGUGAGUGAUGAAGGUCUUCGGAUCGUAAAACUCUGUUAUUAGGGAAGAACAAAUGUGUAAGUAACUAUGCACGUCUUGACGGUACCUAAUCAGAAAGCCACGGCUAACUACGUG
This 496-nucleotide ribosomal RNA is filed under the name uncultured bacterium. Its description in RNAcentral is "partial 16S ribosomal RNA". It matches the Rfam family "Bacterial small subunit ribosomal RNA", at positions 29 to 507 of the family's 1533-position model. The record is from RNAcentral.